CCGCGGGCUAGUCCGGGUGGCUCGGCGUCACCUGUAACCCGAGAUCGCCGAUAUGCGGGGGACGAAGCUGGUGGACGACUGCGGUGCUGCAGGUACAGUCCAGUUGCCGACUGUGAUUCUCCGCCCUGUGGGGACAGCAUUGACGUUCGGGCCUGCCGGAGGGCAGGUCUGUUCAUCUCAACUGCGGGGACCGGUUCAGGCCCGGAAGGGAGCAGACCUACCGCGGAUAACUGUCGCUUGCAGACUUGCGGGGAGGAGAAGGUCUCUGGGGCACCUGGCCUGUGGCGUUGCUGGCUACCGCCGGCGCGCCCGCAU
This is a non-coding RNA of 315 nucleotides. It matches the Rfam family "Archaeal signal recognition particle RNA". The record is from Rfam.